GAUGAACGCUGGCGGCGUGCUUAACACAUGCAAGUCGAACGAACCUUCGGGUUAGUGGCGGACGGGUGAGUAACGCGUGAGAAUCUGCCCUCAGGAGGGGGAUAACGGUUGGAAACGACCGCUAAUACCCCAUAUGCCUACUGGUGAAAUGAAUCUCGCCUGAGGAUGAGCUCGCGUCUGAUUAGCUAGUUGGUGAGGUAAUGGCUCACCAAGGCUUCGAUCAGUAGCUGGUCUGAGAGGAUGAUCAGCCACACUGGGACUGAGACACGGCCCAGACUCCUACGGGAGGCAGCAGUGGGGAAUUUUCCGCAAUGGGCGAAAGCCCGACGGAGCAGCGCCGCGUGAGGGACGAAGGCCUCUGGGCUGUAAACCUCUUUUCUCAAGGAAGAAGAUAUGACGGUACUUGAGGAAUAAGCCACGGCUAAUUCCGUGCCAGCAGCCGCGGUAAUACGGGAGUGGCAAGCGUUAUCCGGAAUUAUUGGGCGUAAAGCGUCCGCAGGCGGCUUUUCAAGUCUGCUGUUAAAACGUGGAGCUUAACUCCAUCAUGGCAGUGGAAACUGAAAGGCUUGAGUAUGGUAGGGGCAGAGGGAAUUCCCGGUGUAGCGGUGAAAUGCGUAGAUAUCGGGAAGAACACCAGUGGCGAAGGCGCUCUGCUGGGCCAUUACUGACGCUCAUGGACGAAAGCCAGGGGAGCGAAAGGGAUUAGAUACCCCUGUAGUCCUGGCCGUAAACGAUGAACACUAGGUGUCGGGGGAAUCGACCCCUUCGGUGUCGUAGCUAACGCGUUAAGUGUUCCGCCUGGGGAGUACGCACGCAAGUGUGAAACUCAAAGGAAUUGACGGGGGCCCCCACAAGCGGUGGAGUAUGUGGUUUAAUUCGAUGCAACGCGAAGAACCUUACCAGGGUUUGACAUCCUGCGAACCUCUUAGAAAUUUGAGGGUGCCUUCGGGAAUGCAGUGACAGGUGGUGCAUGGCUGUCGUCAGCUCGUGUCGUGAGAUGUUGGGUUAAGUCCCGCAACGAGCGCAACCCACGUUUUUAGUUGCCAGCAUUUAGUUGGGCACUCUAGAAAGACCGCCGGUGAUAAACCGGAGGAAGGUGUGGAUGACGUCAAGUCAUCAUGCCCCUUACACCCUGGGCUACACACGUACUACAAUGCUACGGACAAAGGGCAGCAAACUCGCGAGAGCUAGCAAAUCCCAUAAACCGUGGCUCAGUUCAGAUCGUAGGCUGCAACUCGCCUACGUGAAGUAGGAAUCGCUAGUAAUCGCAGGUCAGCAUACUGCGGUGAAUACGUUCCCGGGCCUU
Molecule: ribosomal RNA, 1306 nt
Filed under: uncultured bacterium
Lineage: Bacteria
Description: bacterial SSU rRNA
Rfam family: Bacterial small subunit ribosomal RNA
Source: RNAcentral